Long non-coding RNA from Bos taurus (domestic cattle), 670 nucleotides. NCBI's taxonomy places the organism in Eukaryota, Metazoa, Chordata, Mammalia, Artiodactyla, Bovidae. The record is from Ensembl.
GGAACCACCAGGAGAAAUGUGCUCCUUGGCUCCAGGGCUGCUAAAGAUGCAAGAGGUAAGAGCAAGGCUGGUGCGGCUGCCGGAGGAGGAAGUUCCUGAGGAGGUGGCCAGUGGGAGUGGAGAGAGGGGUGCAUAGAGGUGGACCAGGCUGGGGGCUGACAUGGUUCAAGCCCUGAAUCUGGCCACACUGGACGUCUGGGCACUCAGAGGAUUCGAGUCAGCGUAUCCCCCUCUGGCCUCAGCCGGCCCGUCUGUCCAUCGACCACAGCCGAGAGGACCCAACUCUUGGGGUCGAUGAGAAGGAGAUUUAGACACAGACACACGCGGUGGGGAGGACGGCCCCGUGAAGAUGCAGGCAGAGACUGGAAGGAUGCAGCCAGAAGCCAAAAAACACCUGGGGACACCAGAAGCUGGAAGAGGCAGGAAGGGUGGUCCCCUAGAGACUUUAGAAGGAGCACAGCCCUGCAGACCCCUGGUGCUUCUGGCCUCCAGACUGUAAAGGCAUAAAGCUGCUGCUGUAAGCCCUCGUUUGCAGUAAUUUGGGGGAUUGGCCCCCAGGAACCAGACAGAGCCUGUUACUUGAUCACCACAUGGAGAAAAGAAUGAGAUUUAAAAGAUGCAUCUCUUCCCCUCCACCCCUUCUGCUCAUUAACUUCAGUACCUUCCUGUC